Transfer RNA from Felis catus (domestic cat), 85 nucleotides. It matches the Rfam family "tRNA". Rfam says of the family: Transfer RNA (tRNA) molecules are approximately 80 nucleotides in length. NCBI's taxonomy places the organism in Eukaryota, Metazoa, Chordata, Mammalia, Carnivora, Felidae. The record is from Rfam.
GCCUGGGUGGCUCAGUCGGUUGAGUGUCUGACUUCAGCUCAGGUCAUGAUCUCAUGGUUCGUGGGUUCGAGCCCCGCGUCGGGCU